Molecule: ribosomal RNA, 275 nt
Filed under: Pseudobutyrivibrio ruminis DSM 9787
Lineage: Bacteria; Bacillati; Bacillota; Clostridia; Lachnospirales; Lachnospiraceae
Description: partial 16S rRNA. Bacterial SSU
Rfam family: Bacterial small subunit ribosomal RNA
Source: RNAcentral
CUGGCUCAGGAUGAACGCUGGCGGCGUGCUUAACACAUGCAAGUCGAACGAAGCAACUUAUCACGAUUCCUUCGGGGUGACGAUUUGUUGACUGAGUGGCGGACGGGUGAGUAACGCGUGGGUAACCUACCUUGUACAGGGGGACAACAGUUGGAAACGACUGCUAAUACCGCAUAAGCGCACAGCUUCGCAUGAAGCAGUGUGAAAAGUUUUUCGGUACAAGAUGGACCCGCGUCUGAUUAGCUAGUUGGUGAGGUAACGGCCCACCAAGGCGA